Non-coding RNA from Gambusia affinis (western mosquitofish), 733 nucleotides. NCBI's taxonomy places the organism in Eukaryota, Metazoa, Chordata, Actinopteri, Cyprinodontiformes, Poeciliidae. The record is from the annotation of a RefSeq genome assembly.
AUCAGCAGCUCCAUGCUCCAGUGCUCUGGGAGAGUUUAUAGUCCUGACAGUUGAACACUGGAUGACUGACAGCUGUCCUUCAUCACAACUGAAGACACAGAAAUCCUCCUCAUCAAAAACAUGACUUUGAUCUGCGUCCUCAUCUGGACUCUCCUCUGCUGCUGCUUCACAGAGGUCAGAGGUCAGGUCACAGUGACUCAACAGCCUGCAGCAGUGAGAGCUGAUCUGGGAGGAUCUGCCACCAUCAACUGUAGAACCAGUCAGAAUGUUUAUGUUUAUAGUGGCUCCCACUAUUUAGCUUGGUACCAACAGAAAGAUGGACAAACUCCUAAGCUCCUCAUUUAUACAACCAGCACUAAAGCAUCAGGGACUCCAAGUCGUUUUUCAGGCAGUGGAUCAAACUCUGACUUCACUCUGACCAUCAGUGGAGUUCAGGCUGAAGAUGCUGCAGUUUAUUACUGUAAGGGAGAAUUUGAUGCUAGCAAAUAUGAGCUGUUCACACAGUGAAAUACAGUCAUACAAAAACCUCCCUCAGUCAGACUGAACAGAAACUCCAGCUGGACGCUACAGCAGAAACUGACACAGCUCACUAAGUACAAACACCAUGACAUUCACAUGAAUAUUGAAAUAAGUGGCAACAUUCCCAUCAAAUUUUUAAAGUUAAUGUAGAGGUUGGAAUAUUACACCUGGAGAAACUUUGUUGGGGAAGAUCAAAUUUGACUUAAGGCUGAAA